Molecule: long non-coding RNA, 1666 nt
Organism: Paramormyrops kingsleyae
Lineage: Eukaryota; Metazoa; Chordata; Actinopteri; Osteoglossiformes; Mormyridae
Source: RefSeq, a predicted model, not a curated record
UCUAUGUUCAGUUCUGCCCCCGUGAACGUGGAAAAGAACAUGCGUGUGUUGGGGGUAGGGAAUCCCUGCUCAUACCCUGCCAUAGAAACCCCUGGACAUGGAGGACAUGCUACUGACUGAGCCAGAACCGAAAUCACGACUUAAACGAGCAAACGCCUAUUUCCCAAAACGUCUAACGCGGCAGCUGCCUCUAUGCCUGACUGCCCGCUUAGCGCAAUGCAGAAAAAGGCUGAAUAUGCGAAAGAAUCGACAUUAUCAGAAAGCACGCAGCUGGGAGACUUCCAGUGGUCCUAAGAGAAUGGGCCAAAAAAAGAUCCAAUGAGUGGUGAUCCUCUGAGGCAAAAAAUGGCUUGUUAAUGGCAGAGGUCAGAGAAGAAUGGCCAGACUGGUUCAAGCUGAUGGAAAGGCAACAGUAACUCAAAUAACCACUCUUAACAACCAAGGUAUGCAAAAGACCAUCUCUGAAUGCACAACAUGCUGAACUUUGAAGCAGUCAUUCCUGUAGGAGCAGAAGACCACAUCGGGUGACCCUGUUAGCUAAGGACAGGAAACUGAGGCUACAGUGGGCACAGCCUCAAGAAAAUUGCGAUAUUCAGAUGGUAGGGUCAGAAUUUGACAUAAACAACAUGGAUCCACCCUGCCUGGUCUGGAUGGUGCCCCGGGUGGACACUGUCUUGAGCUGGAGUGCUGGUUCAGUCCCAUGGAAGCGUGACAUCAUAGAUGUGGCUUAUGAACUAUAGCAUCAUAAGUGCAACCUUCAAUCUGCCAGCUGACACAGACCUGCUCAGAAAGCUGACUCAUGGCUGGACUUUGACCAUGACCACAGUUUACAUCUUGCAGGCUUAUUUCUCUCUGUUUUCUAUGAUGUUAGCAUGGUGAGGCAGCCACUCAGCCUCCAGCAGUAUUCUUCUCCCUACUUGGGAAUUUUUGGUUCCUCUUCUCUGUUGCCUUCUGACCUUCUCUCUUCCCAUGUUCCUUUUUACCCUUUUUCAUAUACCAGUGUUCCCCAGCCCGGUCCUCGGUGGCCCCCGGACAGUCCACAUUUUUGCUCCCUCGCAGCUCCUGGCAGCAAAAACUUGGACUGUCUGGGGGUUCCUGAAGACUGGGUUGGGGGACACUGCCAUGCACCCUUGUAACAGGCUUUGGGGUACUGUUGUGAAAGGUGUUAUAUAAAAAUAAAAAUAAGGAAUACUAUAUCUAAAACAACACAUACUUAAUGUUAAAAACUAAUUUGUAUUACAAAUUAAUUUAUAUUUAAAAAUAUUUUUAAUAUUCAAGUGUGUCUUUAACCAUAAAUCUAAUAGACCUGCGUAAGCUUCUUUCUGUAUUUUGCAAAAAUGAAACUAAGAUCCUUUUAAGAUUUCAUGAAAAGUCUUUAUUUAACAUUUUUCAAUGCAAACCACCACAUUGGCGUGUCUGAUCAGAACUAUCCUCCCUUUUGUCAAAAUGUUUACUGUGCCUGGCUACAUGAAGCUCAGUCUGGGAAGAGCAGUCUAGUCCUACAGUAUAACUGUAUGCAUUGGAGAGUGACAUUCAUUUGUACAAAUAUUUUUUAAUUUGUAUAAAACAUUCUAUAAAUGUAUGAUCAUAAAUAAUGUAUGAUCUAUCAUUAAUAAAUCUAUCAUUCAUUAAAAAAAAAAAAAAUCUACCCAAAAUAACUAAAAAA